AUCGCUUCUCGGCCUUUUGGCUCAGAUCAAGUGUAGUAUCUGUUCUUAUCAGUUUAAUAUCCUGAUACGUCCCCCAUCGGGGGACUACAUAUUAAAUGGAUUUUUCGAACAGGGAGUCGGAAAUGGGGCUUGCUCCGUCCGCUCACGCAUCGACCCGGUAUUGCAGUACCUCCGGGAAUGGUGCAACACUU
This 191-nucleotide small nuclear RNA is filed under the name Salmo salar (Atlantic salmon). RNAcentral's name for it is "U2 spliceosomal RNA (ENSSSAG00000106113.1)". It matches the Rfam family "U2 spliceosomal RNA". Rfam says of the family: U2 is a small nuclear RNA (snRNA) component of the spliceosome (involved in pre-mRNA splicing). Complementary binding between U2 snRNA (in an area lying towards the 5' end but 3' to hairpin I) and the branchpoint sequence (BPS) of the intron results the bulging out of an unpaired adenosine, on the BPS, which initiates a nucleophilic attack at the intronic 5' splice site, thus starting the first of two transesterification reactions that mediate splicing. The record is from RNAcentral. Lineage: Eukaryota; Metazoa; Chordata; Actinopteri; Salmoniformes; Salmonidae.